UUGGAGGGCAAGUCUGGUGCCAGCAGCCGCGGUAAUUCCAGCUCCAAUAGCGUAUAUUAAAGUUGUUGCAGUUAAAAAGCUCGUAGUUGAAUUUCGGGAUCAAAUAAUCGGUCGUGCCUCCGGUACGUACUGGUUUUAUUGGUUCCUCCCUUCUGACGAACCAUGAUGUCAUUAAUUUGAUGUGGUGGAGAAUCAGGACUGUUACCUUGAAAAAAUUAGAGUGUUUAAAGCAGGCUAACGCUUGAAUACAUUAGCAUGGAAUAAUGAAAUAGGACGUUCGACCCUAUUUUGUUGGUUUCUAGGAUCGACGUAAUGAUUAAUAGGGAUAGUUGGGGGCAUUAGUAUUCAAUUGUCAGAGGUGAAAUUCUUGGAUUUAUUGAAGACUAACUACUGCGAAAGCAUUUGCCAAGGAUGUUUUCAUUAAUCAAGAACGAAAGUUAGGGGAUCGAAGACGAUCAGAUACCGUCGUAGUCUUAACCAUAAACUAUGCCGACUAGGGAUCGGACGAUGUUAAUUUUUUAAUGACUCGUUCGGCGCCUUACGGGAAAC
This 549-nucleotide ribosomal RNA is filed under the name uncultured Glomus. Its description in RNAcentral is "SSU rRNA". It matches the Rfam family "Eukaryotic small subunit ribosomal RNA", at positions 548 to 1098 of the family's 1831-position model. The record is from RNAcentral. Lineage: Eukaryota; Fungi; Glomeromycota; Glomeromycetes; Glomerales; Glomeraceae.